RNAcentral lists this ribosomal RNA (468 nucleotides) under uncultured bacterium. RNAcentral describes it as "partial 16S ribosomal RNA". It matches the Rfam family "Bacterial small subunit ribosomal RNA", at positions 28 to 507 of the family's 1533-position model. The record is from RNAcentral.
GACGAACGCUGGCGGCGUGCUUAACACAUGCAAGUCGAACGGAAAGGCCCUGCUUUUGUGGGGGGCUCGAGUGGCGAAAGGGUGAGUAACACGUGAGUAACCUGCCCUUGACUUUGGGAUAACUUCAGGAAACUGGGGCUAAUACCGGAUAGGAGCUCCUGCUGCAUGGUGGGGGUUGGAAAGUUUCGGCGGUUGGGGAUGGACUCGCGGCUUAUCAGCUUGUUGGUGGGGUAGUGGCUUACCAAGGCUUUGACGGGUAGCCGGCCUGAGAGGGUGACCGGCCACAUUGGGACUGGGAUACGGCCCAGACUCCUACGGGAGGCAGCAGUGGGGAAUAUUGCACAAUGGGCGGAAGCCUGAUGCAGCAACGCCGCGUGCGGGAUGACGGCCUUCGGGUUGUAAACCGCUUUCGCCUGUGACGAAGCGUGAGUGACGGUAAUGGGUAAAGAAGCACCGGCUAACUACGUG